AAGUCGUAACAAGGUUUCCGUAGGUGAACCUGCGGAAGGAUCAUUACAAAUUGUGGGACUGGCAGCGGUGUUGAAAGACGCUGUCUGCCGGUCUGUCUACACAUUACCCUGCUUUGGCGUACUUAUUGUUUCCUCGGUGGGCUUGCCUGCCGACAGGACCUUUUCCAACCCUUUUGUAUUUGUAAUUUGUGUCAAAAAAAUGUAAUCGUUACAACUUUCAACAACGGAUCUCUUGGUUCUGGCAUCGAUGAAGAACGCGGCGAAAUGCGAUAAGUAGUGUGAAUUGCAGAAUUCAGUGAAUCAUCGAAUCUUUGAACGCACAUUGCGCCCCUUGGUAUUCCAUGGGGCAUGCCUGUUCGAGCGUCAUUUGUACCUUCAAGCCUAGCUUGGUGAUGGGUGUUUGUCGAAACCGACUCGCCUCAAACAAAUUGGUAGCCAACUUUUGUAGUAGGAGCGCAGCACAUUGCAUUCUUUUUACCGGCAAAAGACGGCCCCCCCAACAAACCUCUCUCUCUUUUGACCUCGGAUCAGGUAGGGAUACCCGCUGAACUUA
RNAcentral lists this ribosomal RNA (553 nucleotides) under uncultured fungus. RNAcentral's name for it is "eukaryotic LSU rRNA". The stretch from base 213 to 366 matches the Rfam family "5.8S ribosomal RNA". Lineage: Eukaryota; Fungi. The record is from RNAcentral.